This 497-nucleotide ribosomal RNA is filed under the name uncultured bacterium. RNAcentral's name for it is "partial 16S ribosomal RNA". It matches the Rfam family "Bacterial small subunit ribosomal RNA", at positions 28 to 507 of the family's 1533-position model. The record is from RNAcentral.
GAUGAACGCUGGCGGCGUGCCUAAUACAUGCAAGUCGAGCGAACAGACGAGGAGCUUGCUCCUCUGACGUUAGCGGCGGACGGGUGAGUAACACGUGGAUAACCUACCUAUAAGACUGGGAUAACUUCGGGAAACCGGAGCUAAUACCGGAUAAUAUAUUGAACCGCAUGGUUCAAUAGUGAAAGACGGUUUUGCUGUCACUUAUAGAUGGAUCCGCGCCGCAUUAGCUAGUUGGUAAGGUAACGGCUUACCAAGGCAACGAUGCGUAGCCGACCUGAGAGGGUGAUAGGCCACACUGGAGCUGAGACACGGUCCAGACUCCUACGGGAGGCAGCAGUAGGGAAUCUUCCGCAGUGGGCGAAAGCCUGACGGAGCAACGCCGCGUGAGUGAUGAAGAUCUUCGGUGCGUAAAACUCUGUUAUUAGUGAAGAACAAAUGUGUAAGUAACUAUGCACGUCUUGACGGUACCUAGUCAGAAAGCCACGGCUAACUACGUG